RNAcentral lists this long non-coding RNA (5575 nucleotides) under Nicotiana tabacum (common tobacco). RNAcentral's name for it is "long non-coding RNA (NTAB_LNC018691)". The record is from RNAcentral. Lineage: Eukaryota; Viridiplantae; Streptophyta; Magnoliopsida; Solanales; Solanaceae.
UCCAACAAAAGGUGCUACUUAUGAAUUAAACCCCUGUUGUAAUAGUCCAAAACCCAAAUAUAUGGCAGAAAGGGUUCAAUCCACUCAAAAAAAAUCAUAAUGACAAAAUUAAAGUCCUAAUACAACUCUAAGAAUGUACUGUUGACAGUAUGAUUGAAUGUAGUAAAAUUACAUAUAAAGCUAAUUUAAUAAGAAAAAACAUAAAUAAACUUUGAAGAACAUAGACUAAUCUAUAAUCAUCUAAUCAUUCAUCCAUAAAUAUCCAAACCAAUUACAUGGCUUCAAACUUGUAUUUCACACGUUCAUAGGGUCCAUGAAGUACCUGAGGGUAGAAAUUAAAGCAAAAGAAGAUGAGGAAAUCAGCAGCAAUAGAACAGUGCAAAUCAGCAAAUUCGACCUCCUUAAACUUUGGACCCAGACCAACCAGGAAACCUUUGAGGUGUUAAAAUUAAACUAAUAGUGCCAAUCAAAGUGUAAUUCCAAGCGGUUUUUAACUAAGAAUGAUGCAGAGAAUUUUUUCUGUCUUUUCAAGGUGUGAGUGUGUGUGUAAAGAGUGAAGGGAAGGCCUUAUUUAUACAACAGAAAUCUGUUGUGUGCCUUCCAAGGCAGGGAAAUUGGAUUUUCCCAAAAUACCCCUCACAUGGCAUCUUUUCUUAACAGAAAAUGGAUAGCUGUCUUUUCCUCAUUGGUCUCAGCACUUCAGUUAACCAAAGGAGGCCAGCUACCCUCUAUUCUAGAACCUUCCAGCUGAUCUUUAUCUUGUUGCACUUACCCAAUCAUUCAAACAGACCCCUCAAGUUUCCUUUUUUGUGCAAUUAAGACCCCAAGAGUUCCUACUAAUUAACAAGCUAGGACUAACAACAAAAUCCAGAAUCAAAGAAACAAUGAAGAUCAAGAAACCAAAUACUGAUUAACUUUAAACCUGUAACUAAAUCCGAAUCCAUUUAUUAAUGAACUUGAAAUUAACAUGACACAUACAGGAACACUUGAAUCUAGUAUGAAUCCGGAAUUCCUAACCCAAGGGCCAUCCUCAGAGAAUUAGACCUAGUCCGGGAACCAAACAACAACAAGAAACUAAUAUGCUCAAUUUUGGAUACUAACAUGUCGCAAUUUCAAUUUUCCUAAUAAACAAACCACUAAGCAGAAUCAAAACUAAGAACCACCAGAAAUAACAUCUAAACAUGCUGAUAACUAAACAUGCGGCCAAAUCAACAAUAACAUGCAGAGAACAGAAUUGAACAAAGAAAAAGAAAAGGAAAUUACCUAUACUCUCCUUUUAAUGCUAGAAUUAUUCGCUCAAACCACAAGCCAUAAAGUGAACUCGAACUACCGUUAACCGACUGUUCUUAACAAGAACAGUCGACUAACGGAUGUUUUGAGUUCACUCGAACAUCACACGACCCCAAAAAACGAAAAAGGAAAACAGAAAUCAGAGCUCAACAAUUCAGCUUCGAGAUUUGAACCUUUUUAGUGGUGCUUUCGGGGAAAUUAAGGAUAGAAGUGGGGAGAGGAAAGGACAACAGUCGCCAUGUAUCGAUUUGGGAAUGUUUGGAGGGAUUAGGGUUUUGGGAUUCCGAGUUUGGAUCUAAAAUUGAGGGAGUUUGAGAGGGAUUCAAAGGAAACGGGUUAGAGAUUUGGAAUGAGGGGAUGAAGGGGAUUCUAGGGUGUAAUUUUAGGGAGGAUUGGGGUUAUGCCGCCACCGGAGAUGGUGAGGAGUUAUAGGGCGGUGCUAGGGUUUUUUAGUCUCUGAAUAUAGAGACGAUGACUGAAGGGAAGUGAAAUGUGGGGUGGCCUAGGUUCGAACAAUUAUAUAUCUAAUGGGCAUCCAGUUCUGGUCUGUUGGAUCAAUGUGAUCCAACGGUGAUGAUCAAGGUGGGGAAGCGUCGUCGUUUAAUUAACAGGGGCAAUUAGACCGGGCCACUGACUGGGCUGGGGCGAGUUAGGAGGGAGUUGGGCUAGGGAUUUUUGGUCUUGGCCCAAAUUGGGUUUUAAAUUCCUUUUCCCUUCUUUUAUUUUAUUAUUCUUUUUAUAAUUGUUUUCCUUUCUUUUCAAUUAAUUAAAAAAACUAAAUUAGACUCUUAAAUUAAACUAAGCUGUAAAAUUAAGUUAAUUACCUACUAAAAUAUUUAUGAAAGUUAAUUACUCCUAAAUUAAAAGAAGAAAUUACUAAUUUAAUAUUAAAAGGCUAAAAAAUGCAAAAAAUGAGCCAUUUUUUGUGAUUUCUUAUUUUUUGUAAAAUAAUUAAUUUACUAAUUAACCUAAAAAUGUAAGAAUAAGCCCCACAUGCAAUGCAGAGUAUUUUUAUAUUUUUUUCAUGAUUUAAAUAAAAUAAACAUGUACAGACAACAACAACAACAACAACAACAACCCAGUAUAAUCCCACAAGUGAGGUUUGGGGAGGGUAAUAUGUACGCAGACCUUACCCCUACCCCGAGGGGCAGAGAGGCUGUUUCCAGGAGACCCUCGGCUCAAGAGAGAGACCACAGACAAACGCAACCAAUGGGAAAACAUUAUUUUCUUAGAGUCUAUGGGAGUAAUUCCUAUAGGGCAAAAAUCACGUGCUCACAAUGUAUUGAGACGGAGAUUAUUCCCUUUUUCACUUAGAGGGAAAGCUAGACGGAGAUUCCAUCACCACGUGGGAUGAGUUGGCCGACAAGUUUAUAGCCAAGGUUUUCUCACUGGGACAUAUGGCUGCAUUAAGGGAUGAGAUCUUAGCUUUUAAUUAGGAGCCAAAUGAACCCCUUCAUGAAAUUUGGGAGAGAUAGAGAACUAUGGUCAAGAAAUGCCCUAACAAUGAUGUCACACCUCCUUUUUACCUACACCCCGAAAGGGUAUAAGGGAGUUUUUUCAAUUUAAGUGACAAUUGAAAUGGGAUUAUUUUAUUAAAAUUUCAGAGUCGCCACUUGGGAUAAUUUUAUGGUGUCCCAAGUCACCGGUUCAAAUCCCGAAUCGAGGAAAAGAUUGACUCUAUUUUACAGUCCGCGAACACAGAAAUCUGGGUAAGGAAUUCUGUUAACCCGGGAGAAGGUGUUAGACAUUUCCAGAUUCUGUGGUUCUAGCACGGUCGCUCAACUGUUAUAAUUGGCCUAUUAUCUGAUUUUAAUACAUGUUUUAGCCUAUGGUUUUAUUUUAACUUCACUGCUUCCAUUUAAUUAUUUUUUUUUAGGAAGAUCUCAACGUCAUUUAAAAUACGUCUUGAACCACGUACAUAAAUGCACCCGAGAUUCUCGACAUAUUUUAUCUAACAUUGUUGAGAUUCGGAUUGGGGUCACAUAAAUGCGCACCCGAGUUUAGGAAGGUAAAUUAUUAAAAUGACGCGCCUAAAGCAACUACGCAUUUGCAACUUUGCAAGGGCCAUGGAAAAUUCUACUAAAUGGCUCGCCUCGAUUUCUAAGGAUUAAAAUAGUAAUUAAGCUAAGGCCACGCAUUUUGAGGUUUUGUUCGGCAUGGCACACCUCAAUCCCAAUCCUUAAAGGAAAUUCGAAAUCAAGCUUUUGAGGGCCAUAAAUUGUAUGUUUGGCUAAUAUGGCACACCUCAAAUUAAUUACAACAACUAAUUGAAUUGAUGUGACUUAAGGCCGAGAUACGCGACUACUAGAGAAAGGAGGAGGGGCGUUGGGAUUUCAGGAGUUGGACUGCCCCUGUUAGUUAACAUUAGUAACAAUAAUUAAAUGAUACUUUGGGCCCAAAAGCAGGCCCAGGACAAACGAAGAAAGCUUAACUAUUCCUUAUUUCCAGGGGGGCCUUAAGGACCAGGCCCAAAAGUCAGUUGGGCCUAAUAGCCCUGAUCAGCACAUGACAAAUUGGUAUUCAUAGAAACGAGAAAUGAAGCACACCUAAAUGAUCAUUGUUUUUCUAAAAAAAAAACUAAACACUUAACAAGAAUAAGAGUUCACAUCUCAAUUUCAAAUAGGAUAAAUUAUAAACAUAUUACGUGAAGUUCGAAUCCCAAUUGUGACCUUGCCAACGACAAUGAAAACCUUACAUACUUUAGCAAGAUUUGUAACUUGCCAAACCAUAAAUUCAUUGUUUGAAUCAUAGUUCUUCAAGAACACAAAUGCCUCACUUGAAUUCUAGAAGACAAUGUGAUAAAAGAUUGUUAUACAAGUCUCAGAUUCUGAGUACCAAACUAAACCUGAAACCAGUUUAAGCUAGAUCGAAAGAAAAAUAAUGAAGCAAAUCUAGAUCACUGUUAUAGGAAGGCAGAUAUUCAUUAACACUUUUACUUAUGCACACAUCGAAACUCAGAAGUUAUGACAUUGAGGCACCAACCCAACUCACAUACAAGAUUUAGAUCAGUAAUACAGUGGACUUAAGAACCCAAAUUGUUAUAGUUAGAUGGAAGGAACAGAGGGCUGAGAGUUCAAUAAAAUGAAGGGGGAGUGGGAAAUACUCUUGGGCUUGUCAUUGAGCCCAAUCAUGACAAAACAGCAUGAGUCAAAAAUCAGAAAACCCAAAAUCACAUAACUGAUUAUGCAGCUUGUUUUCAGCAGGUUUGAACUUCAAGACGAAACUGGCUAAGGCAUUCACCCUUGAUCCUUAUGACUCGUUCAUUCAUUACAUUAAUUCCAUGUAAACUCAAUACUAUUCAACAACAUUUCGAGUCAUUUGACAAGUACUCAGUUAGGUAAUGAAGAUUAACCAACCUUAACUUAUGAAGCGACAAACAUAAUAAAUCUAAACUACUGAGAAAACCAGAUAGACAUCAGAUUGUGAUCCUCCAUAAUGCUGCAAGCUCUUCCUCAUACAAGAGUGAUACUAAUUUAGCUUUCAACUCUCAUGAAUCUGAUCAUAUCAAGAUCAGAUCCAUCAAGAGUCCUGCUGCAACAGGCUAAUCCUUGGCUAAUACACACAACUCAAAACAUGAAGAAAAUAUCAAGUACGAGUAAGCUAAACAGUACACAUAGAGCCCAAGCCCAACAGAUAUCCACUAAUGUAUUUGAAGUACAAGAGAAGCAUUUUUCCAGCAUAUGAAACAAGAAUCAGCAUGGAUAUAUAUUUGAUUGUUCACGUAACAUCUUUAACAUUUAUGUAAAGUCAUGAUUACAAGGGUUUUGGCAUAAGGUCAUGAUGUGUACCUUACUGCCUGAAAUCUGCUUCACAAUCUUAAAAAAAAUAUUCCAACAACAGAGGGUAAAGCAGCAAGCAACCAGCAACUACGAACCUUUUUAAUCCAUACUCAAAUCCCAAAAUUUCAACAGAUGUUCAAGACUUAAAACCGGAAAGAUGAAAACAAAUAACCAAUGAAACAGUGCUAGAACUUUCCUUUUCUUUUGUGUUUUUUUAUUCUGAAGUUCUACCCCUAUGUGUGUUUUUCAGUGCUUCAAGUAUAGAGAAUGCCACUUAAACCUUUCAGCCGUUUUUGGUUUUUCAGUCUUUUUCCUCCAAUCUCUUUUGAGCUUGAAGAAAGGAUCCCUUUAUAGGCAAGGUACUAGGGCAGCCUAAAGAAAUCAGAUUUUGCAUUUAUACCCUUUUGGAAUUUUGGUUUUUGCUUAGAAAUCCUUAAUGUAAAAUUCAAAACUUCAGUUUAGUCCCCACCUCAGCUUCCUAGAAGCUUCCUCAAACAAUUAUUCAG